UGGGGAAUAUUGCACAAUGGGCGCAAGCCUGAUGCAGCCAUGCCGCGUGUGUGAAGAAGGCCUUCGGGUUGUAAAGCACUUUCAGCGAGGAGGAAGGUGGUGAACUUAAUACGUUCAUCAAUUGACGUUACUCGCAGAAGAAGCACCGGCUAACUCCGUGCCAGCAGCCGCGGUAAUACGGAGGGUGCAAGCGUUAAUCGGAAUUACUGGGCGUAAAGCGCACGCAGGCGGUUUGUUAAGUCAGAUGUGAAAUCCCCGGGCUCAACCUGGGAACUGCAUUUGAAACUGGCAAGCUAGAGUCUCGUAGAGGGGGUAGAAUUCCAGGUGUAGCGGUGAAAUGCGUAGAGAUCUGGAGGAAUACCGGUGGCGAAGGCGGCCCCCUGGACGAAGACUGACGCUCAGGUGCGAAAAGCGUGGGGAGCAAACAGGAUUAGAUACCCCUGGUAGUCCACGCUGUAAACGAUGUCGAUUUUGGAGGUUGUGCCCUUGAGGCGUGGCUUCCGGAGCUAACGCGUUAAAUCGACCGCCUGGGGAGUACGGCCGCAAGGUUAAAACUCAAAGGAAUUGACGGGGUCAUAGCUGUUUCCU
Molecule: ribosomal RNA, 588 nt
Filed under: uncultured bacterium
Lineage: Bacteria
Description: partial 16S ribosomal RNA
Rfam family: Bacterial small subunit ribosomal RNA
Source: RNAcentral